Long non-coding RNA from Sitophilus oryzae (rice weevil), 395 nucleotides. RefSeq lists it as uncharacterized. Lineage: Eukaryota; Metazoa; Arthropoda; Insecta; Coleoptera; Curculionidae. The record is from RefSeq and is a predicted model, not a curated record. The transcript has 2 exons.
UGUCAUUAAAGUCUAUUUACGUGUCAUACGUAUAAUUUUAUAAAAUUUUGUGUAACAUUUCAUUCAUUUCAUUUCAUCUCACAACAUAAUGGCAUGAAAAGCAAAAUUUACAGUGAAUAAGAAAACUUAAAAGGAGAAACGAAAUAUGGUUUUAACUGCAUUUGAAUCCAUCCUAAUAACAUGUGUUAUAGUUGGAAGCGUUCACUUACUAGUAACAAUGCUAUCAACAUUUGAAAAACCAGAAGAAGGCAGCAACUGCUGCAAAGAUGUCAUGUCUUACAUAGCAAAACAUAAGUUUUUACACGAAAAUAGAAUAAGAAGUCAAGAAGCCAAAGUACCUUUCUAUCAUUAAAUAUGUACUCUCGUUUCACAUAAAACAGCUUUUGAUAUAGGAA